This is a long non-coding RNA of Culex pipiens pallens (northern house mosquito), 993 nucleotides long. RefSeq lists it as uncharacterized. The transcript is spliced from 3 exons. The record is from RefSeq and is a predicted model, not a curated record. NCBI's taxonomy places the organism in Eukaryota, Metazoa, Arthropoda, Insecta, Diptera, Culicidae.
UUUGAAAAAUGUCGCACGUCGUACAAGCUGUCGCGCGGUUUUGAUUUUACCGUUUCGAUAUUGAUUGGUCGAAAGGACGACAAACGUACGACAAACACUCGACAUGCCCGACAUUGUUUUUUCCAUCGAUUUUCCUUCAAUUCGACGUCACGAUUUUCGUCGACGCAAACAGUUUGACAGUUCUCUUCAGUUGAUCUUGUUCGGACUUGAUUGCAACCGAAUCGAACCAGCUGUCCUUCCUUUUGGGAUUUGGUUUAGGAGCCUCGAAGAUUUUGGACGAUUUUCGACGGAUAAUAGAUUUCGGUCUUCGUGGCGGUGGAGGAGGACGAGAAGGAGGACGGGACGGGAAGGAACCGGUUUGCGAUCGAGGAAGGUUGGUGUUUGGUGUUUUACUUUCCGCGGGAGGUGGCGGCACAUACCUGAUGAAACUGGGAACAAACACGUACUCCACAAUCCCACGUUAUCUCGUACUCCGGUGGCCAUCAAUCCAUCUGAGAUCCAAGAUUGGCGUCGCAUCCGGGUAAAACUUUGAUCAGCUCGUCGAGAAGCAAAAGUCCAACACCAACAUCCAAGCCGGAAGCUGCGGUCAAGGCAAAUCCGAGACCAUCUGAAGAAAGCCAAGUUGGAUAAGAAUCGGCGAUCCGGAAGUUUUUAGUGAAUUUAGUGAAAAAGUGAAUAUUAUAGUGAAAUUAGGUGUGUUUCAAUAAAAAAUUAAAUAAAAAAACAAAACAACAGUUUUUUCAACAGCAACAUAACCUAAAAAUCCGAAAUGACAGCACACGACAAUAGCACGACAUCCUAAAUAACAAAACCGUGCGACGUCGGUCGAAUGUCGCACGACAAUGUCGUACAAUUUCGAUUAUCGAUCGCACGACAAAUACGACAUUUUGGUGCAAAAACGUAUGACAUUCGCGCGAAAGUCGCACGACAUUGUCGUGCGACGUCGUACAAUUGCACGGACGACAAACGACGGACGUCUGACGGACUUUUCAG